AGUACACACUCGGCAGUACACACUCGGCUGGGUUCCCGCUCUGCGAGGGAAGGUCACAAUAGCUGCUCUAUCUGCAGAGGCGCCUGCCUCCUCCCUCCCUGGGUCUCAGAGAAGCAGAGAAAGAAGGGGGAGGGGCGCCGGCCGCCGACGGCGCCCAGGGCCGGGGGCCUCUCUUCUUGGGGAAGAGUUGCAGCGGUACUUGCAAGAGGAAGUUGGGUGGGGUAAGAAAUCUCCACCCUAGCUCCUGCCUCUCAAGUGUUCCGGGGGGCAAAGGGAAGGCACCAAGGCCUCGAAGUUGCUCGAGGCCUCCCUGCUCCACGCUUCCUUGAGGGUGCCCAGAGCAGCCAGAAGCCGGGAACACGCACGCCAUUGUGUGCGCUGCUUCCCCAUGGGUUCUACAGCAGAGAAGGCCGUAUGUAGGCAGCACAGGCUGGUGGCCGGAGGUGGGAAGAAGCUGGCCCCUCUUGCUCACUGGGGCUUUGGUCUCUGGGAUCUACCGUGGUUGCCUAAGAGAGGAAAUGGCUCUUAAGCUCGUGCCUUUGGCCAGUUCUCCCUUACCCUAUGGCAACUGCGUUUUUGGGGUGUGUGUGUGUGUGUGUGUGUUGGUGCUGGUGGGGUGUCAAGGUGGUUAGGGGGUCUCUUGAGAUCUGAAGAAAGGGGUCAGGGCUGUGAGCCUAGGCCCAUGGGUGAGGGGUGGCUGUCCACCUGGCAUCCUGGGUGGUUCUGUCCAAGCAAUCAAAUGUGAAUUAAGGCAGGGUGGAAUAGCCUGCUGCACAGCAGGGGUUGGAGUGAGAAAUAAUUUAAGCCGAAGGAGAGAGUUCCUUGCAACCAGGAAAAACUCAGGAUCCAGUCUGCAGUAGAGGGCCUAGAAUGGAGCUAACCAGGAAAUUGCAGAAGCUGCUGAGGAACAGGCCUUGAAGAGUAGUCCUGGCACUGGUAAGGAGGACUUGUGACAAAACAUGAGGGUUUUUUGUUUGGAGAUUGAACUCAGAACCAGGUUCAUACUAAGAUACACAAGGUACAUACCAAGCAUAUGGCAAAAUACUUUUGGGGAGG
RNAcentral lists this long non-coding RNA (1056 nucleotides) under Heterocephalus glaber (naked mole-rat). RNAcentral describes it as "lncRNA (ENSHGLG00100033749.1)". Lineage: Eukaryota; Metazoa; Chordata; Mammalia; Rodentia; Bathyergidae. The record is from RNAcentral.